GCUGAACAAAGAUACAGAAACACAUUUCUGUAUUAUAGUGUGUCAUGGUUUCAUGAUUUUCGGUUAUUGGUACUCAACAUUAUAACAUCAUGUAGUGGAUGUACCUGGUUCUCAGAAGAGAAGGACUACUACAUUCCCCACGGUACUUUGCUCCUCUGUUACCAUUUUCCAGCCAGAGGGAAAAGAUAAAAGCUCGCAGUAUAAAAACUUCCAGAUCAUGAGACCUUGUCCCUUUUUUCCGCCAUCUCUCGUCUUGGCAGCACCUCGCUCUCCAGCCGUCUUAUCGUCGGUAGUAGAGUAAGGCCUACCUUGAUUUUGGGACAUUCUCUCUCUCUGUAUUGGAUUUAUCAGCUUAAAUUGUAAUUAUAUUGUAUUAUAGUGUGUUGUUUUGCAUUCCGAUAUUUUAUUUAGUAAAUUAGUUUGUUUCUCCUCAGAUUGUUGCCGCUGUUCUUUGCUCUCAGGGCCAUCUCCUCACCCUUUUCCCCUUUUCCUUUUUUCUGGGGCGUGGGCCUGUGGGUCCCCCGUCCCCUUCGUCAUGGAACCGGGCCAAACGCCCGUAAACCGUUGACAUAGUGGUAGAAACCUAAUCUGUCAGUCUCCUGAUGAGCAUUGAAGGGCUCCAGGUGAAUCCUCUAAAAAUAAAUGGAGCUAAUCCUACCCUUCCUCAACUGCUGACGUAUUGGUGAGCUCUCUUCUGACCCUAAGCUGCAUUUGGGGAUUUAUUCCAUAGUAUGUGCUGCGAGUAUCGCUACGUUACUAUCUUUGACAGGAAAUGAAGGCAUCCAGCUUCCAUGAUGGUUCAGGAAUUCAGGGAAGUGCUAACCUUUGAAGAACAAGAAUGUGUGGUGGAGUCAGAUUGAUAGGUGUUUUGGCUGUGGAACAAGUUUGGGACUGAUGGUUCGUUGGCAUGAGGCAGAGUCUACCAGCGGCCCCAGAGAGCCAGACGAAUAGGUCUGCAAAUUUCAGAUGCCAAAUUGCAGUUAACUAUGCUUCAGCUGAACAAAUUGCUAUUCUAAUCCCUCUACUAGCGUGAGCUGAAGUACUUUACUUUGGUUCCCAAAAACAAUUUGAACAUCUCUGUCAGAACAAAAACUUCAAUACCACAUAAAAAGGCUGACUGAAGAAGAACCUAUCAGAA
Molecule: long non-coding RNA, 1138 nt
Filed under: Numida meleagris (helmeted guineafowl)
Lineage: Eukaryota; Metazoa; Chordata; Aves; Galliformes; Numididae
Description: lncRNA (ENSNMEG00000010316.1)
Source: RNAcentral